Non-coding RNA from Potamilus streckersoni, 76 nucleotides. Lineage: Eukaryota; Metazoa; Mollusca; Bivalvia; Unionida; Unionidae. The record is from the annotation of a GenBank genome assembly.
GCUCCGGUGGCCUAGUGGUUAGAGCGUCCGCCUCGGAUGCGGGAGGUCGUGGGUUUGAUACCAAAGACUUAGAAAA